AGAAUAAGCACCGGCUAACUNCGUGCCAGCAGCCGCGGUAAUACGNAGGGUGCAAGCGUUAAUCGGAAUUACUGGGCGUAAAGCGNGCGUAGGNGGUUNNUUAAGUCNGAUGUGAAAUCCCCGGGCUCAACCUGGGAACUGCAUUNGANACUGNCNGGCUAGAGUGCGGUAGAGGGGGGUGGAAUUCCANGUGUAGCGGUGAAAUGCGUAGAUAUNGGGAGGAACACCGAUGGCGAAGGCAGCCCCCUGGACCGAGACUGACGCUCAGGCGCGAAAGCGUGGGGAGCAAACAGGAUUAGAU
This 301-nucleotide ribosomal RNA is filed under the name beta proteobacterium SCGC AAA280-O20. RNAcentral describes it as "partial 16S small subunit ribosomal RNA". It matches the Rfam family "Bacterial small subunit ribosomal RNA", at positions 483 to 783 of the family's 1533-position model. The record is from RNAcentral. Lineage: Bacteria; Pseudomonadati; Pseudomonadota; Betaproteobacteria.